RNAcentral lists this ribosomal RNA (420 nucleotides) under uncultured bacterium. Its description in RNAcentral is "bacterial SSU rRNA". It matches the Rfam family "Bacterial small subunit ribosomal RNA", at positions 356 to 773 of the family's 1533-position model. The record is from RNAcentral.
AAGGAAUAUUGGUCAAUGGACGAAAGUCUGAACCGGCCAUCCCGCGUGCAGGAUGACUGCCCUAUGGGUUGUAAACUGCUUUUAGUAGAGAAGAAACGCAGUCAUUUAUGAUUGCCUGACGGUACCUACAGAAUAAGCACCGGCUAACUCCGUGCCAGCAGCCGCGGUAAUACGGAGGGUGCGAGCGUUAUCCGGAAUCACUGGGUUUAAAGGGUGCGUAGGCGGGGAAUUAAGUCAGUGGUGAAAUCUUGUCGCUUAACGAUAAAAUUGCCAUUGAUACUGAGUUUCUUGAAUUGGGUUGAGGUUAGCGGAAUGUGACAUGUAGCGGUGAAAUGCAUAGAUAUGUCAUGGAACACCAAUUGCGAAGGCAGCUAGCUGGGCCUUGAUUGACGCUGAGGCACGAAAGCGUGGGUAGCGAAC